Molecule: transfer RNA, 88 nt
Filed under: compost metagenome
Description: tRNA-Gln
Source: RNAcentral
GCCCUGCAUGGACGGAUGAGCGUUGACCGCGCUCUGGACGUGCUGUUGGCGGACGCUGACCUGGCGUUUCGAAGGACGCCGUCGGGCG